CUAAACAAGAAGACGUUAAACUGGAUACUUUGUCAGAAUUGGUAAAAUAAAAGAAACAAUAGACACGACUUCCUCCGCCUCAUGGUUAGACUUAUUCUUCCUAUUUAACAUUUACGGUCAUAUCAAGAACUAUGACAAACAAGACGAUUUUAACUUUGAAAUUAUCCAUUUCCCCCACCUUUGUAGCGAUAUACCAAAUUCACCUGCAUAUGGGAUAUACAUUUCACAACUUAUUCUAUAUACAGAUUUUUUUUUUAUAAUUCUUUAUUUUGUAUUUCUUCAUCUCAUACAAUAUCUAUAUGCAUUUUUGUCUAUAAAG
RNAcentral lists this long non-coding RNA (319 nucleotides) under Mytilus galloprovincialis (Mediterranean mussel). Lineage: Eukaryota; Metazoa; Mollusca; Bivalvia; Mytilida; Mytilidae. The record is from RNAcentral.